ACAUACAAGGUGUUUUUUAAGUCCAAUAAGAUGCAUACCGGAUUGAUGUUGAUAAAUGACAAUAGCUUCUCGGAAUUUGAGAAUUUGUUAUUUUACGAACAAAUAUACUUUUUACCUAGAUUGUCAGAAAAUGAAGAGAAUGAUGCAUUGUAUAUUUCCACCUACGUAGUGUACAUGAGAAACAUAGUGAAGACGGAGUCGGACGUAUUUUUCCUGAGAAAGCACGGGGUUCUGAAAUCAACAUCGAGUUUCAUGGAAGAUAGGGAAAUAACUAGUUUCUUUUGUAAGCAAAGACCGUGGUUGGUGCUUACAAAAUUAAAUCAGAAAAAUAUCCGUUCUCAAUUCAGAUCACUUGAGAAGUUCUGCAGUUCCGGCCACCGCAAACGUAAAGCCAAACUAAGGAAGGAUUACUUCGUAAGCACGCUGGUAAUAUUUGCUUUUUUGGGCUUCAUCAUUGUUACUGCCCUCACUGUUAUUCAAACGGUUUAUGCAGUACGUCAAGCUAAUUAGAUCACCUAAGUCUCACCUCAAGGGAGUAGAGAUGUUAUGUUUUUCUUUAACAAAGUGAAUUUCUUUUAAGAUCAAUUAGAGUCAUCCCUUAAAAAACCAACAGGUAUGUGUGGGAGUUGUACUUGUGAUUUAAAUAGGAAACUUCUUAAAUUAAAACAGGAUAAGGUUAUUGUAUUUCUUUUAGGUUUGAAUGAUGUUUUUACAAAUGUGAGAACACAAAUCCUUGCUCACAAGGAGGUAUCAUCCAUGGAUGAAACUCUAUGCAUGGUCACAACUGAGGAAGACGACAAAAGUGACCUUGUGACUUCAAAAUUCAAAGAUAAACACCCUACCAUUGUCAAAAUUCAAAGUCUGAAAAUGUUGUAAUUGAAAUUGAUAAUAGAAAAAAGUCAAAGGGUUUUUCAGAAGGAUAUGUUUUGAACAAAAAUGGAAAGAGGUUGAAUAAAAAAUGAUAGUGUGACUCUUGAGAGCAACAUGGUCACACCCAAGAUAUGUUCUACUUUAUUAAAUUCUCAUGUUAAAUCAUUUAAUUCUGUUUGCUCAGCAAUUAAGAUGACAAAAGAAAUUCCGGCCACCCAAAAUCAGUUAACAAUAGAUACAUGAGUCAUGGCAACGGAGUUGAGAAUCGAUGUUCUGGGUAUUACCGAUUGGGUCAGUCUACUACGGCCAAGCCAGCAGAUGUAAACAUGUGUAAAAUUUCUGCCGAGCUGGUUAAAGCUAAUGCAAGUUUCAAUGCAAAGAUCUGCUUGUCCGCAACAAGAGCAACACCAUAGAAAUAUACAUGGAGGCAGUCAAAGAGGUGUACCUAUUUCAGAUUUGGAAUUAUGUGAACAUAUGGCAUAAGUGCAUAACACAUGGAAAAAUUUUAAAUCGUGAUAUACGUGAACACAGUUACACAGUAAAUGAACAGAACAAUAAAAUUUUAAACACAUGGACAUUUUAACCGCAAAAACUUUUAAUAAAUACACUGAUACACAUGGCAUUCAUCAGCAUUAUAAAAAAAAUAAAACUCACUGAUAUGGCGAUGUUGAACUCUUCAGAAUUAAGAAGACAACUGCAAUCAGCAGCUCGAAAUCCCCAAUUUAUUUCAAAUCUUGAACAUUUAGCCUAAAUGAUUUAGGGUUUAUUUAUUGGUAGGGUUUUAUAUAUAUUUUAAGCCAAAAUUAUUAUAUAUAUAUAGUAUUAGACUAUUAGUUAUUUAUAUAGAAGAAAGUUUAUAUAAGUCUAGCUUAGGCUUAUAUAAUCUGGAGAAUGAAGAAGACGAGAAGAGGAAGAGAGAAGAAGAAGAAAGUGUAAGAUAGUGUAAGGAGAGAGAGUAUAGAUGGUGGGGAAUUUUUUUGUAAUGAAGAUGAGAUAGACGGCUGGGAUUCAACGGGCGUUUUUGGGCCUAUUUUAAGAGGGCUUUUCUGAAAAUUGCUCUAUUUAUAUAUUUAUAUAGAAGAAAGUUCAUAUAAGCUAGGCUAUAUGAGCCCAAAUGAGCCUUGUGAAUCCCAAUCUCUUAUCUUAUAAAAAUGAAUCAAAUCAUCUCUGAACCGUCCAUUUCUUAUUUUUUAUCUCUAACAUUGCAUCCUUUCUGAACUUUUCACAGUGUAAGCAAACUGCAUACUCUCAGUCACGGACAGUCCUCACGUACACUGUUUUCAAAACUCCUCUCUCAUUUUCGUUUCACCACUCUCACUCUCCACCAUUUCUCUCGCUCGUCUCUUUCUUUUUCCUCUCGCCGGUAUUCAUUUCACACAUUGUCCUCCCAAAGUUCUCAUCCUCCUUCCGUCCGUUUUCAGCGCGUUCCUCCGUUAGUCGUCUUCUUUCAACCUAUCUUCCGUUCUCCACGCGCGUCGUUCCAGGUGAGUUCUUAUUCCACUUCCACUUCGUCGUUCUUCUUUACUUCUUCUCUCACCAUUUUUUCCUGUAUUUCCUUUUCAUUCCUUACUUUUAUGCAUUGUUUAUUUGUUUUUAUUCAUUUUUCACUUCUCCCAGUUUUAGUUUGUGAGAAUGUCGGUAUGGAUGGGGAAGUUACGGCGCUUAUGUCGGUGAAGAGUGAGAUGAGAGACUUAUGGAUGGUUGGGAUAUUAACUCCGUUGAUCCUUGCACUUGGUAUAUGGUUGCUUGUUCCCGUGAUUUGCACUUGGUAUUUUUCUUCUUCUUCUUCUCAAGUUCAUUUUGUGAGUUUGUGUGCAUUUCUAUUAAUUAUAUUAGUUGACAAUUUUUUUUGAUGAAAGAUAUUAGUUGACAGUUAAUACAGUCAAAAUUAAAGAAAACACUGAAUUGAGUGAAUUCUUUCCGUUUUGCGUAGACGUGGUCGAUAAUGAAUAAUGAGAAGACUUUUUUUAGAACUACAUUAGUAAAAUAAAAAAACCGAAAUUAAGAAUAUAUCGAACAAAAAAUAUGGUUCAUGUUGAACAAGUGAAAAACUACAAAACGAACAACAGUAACAAGAGAGAGCGAACAAAGAAAAGAUGAGAUACGUACAUUGAUUGUGUGUAAUGAUUUUCAAUGGAAGAUCGAAUCAGAAUAACAUGAAUGUGUGUAAGGCCGAAGAAUUUGAUAAUAUGUAAAAUGUUUGAUAAUUUGUAAGUGUCUACUUAGUUAUUGGGUAAUGGUGAUAAUAAUGAACAAUACUAAACUAAUUUAGAAACGGAGUCAUAAAAAAAAAUGUAGAAAAAUAAAGAACAAGUAAUGUAGGUGUGUCAAACAACAUAUAGACUACAUUACGAAUAAUGGAAAGAAGAGAUAUAGGGUGUCAAAUAAAGCCCGGCUCGUCGGGCUCGGGCUCGUGAGCCCAAUAAGCCAAGUUCGAGCCCAAUCCUCAAGCUCGAUGGGCUCGGUAACGAGUAUAAAAAAACUACAAAAAUAUUAUAUUUAGAGAGAAUAGAGGUGUAACAUAGUUGAUUAAAGGUUUAUUUAGUAUUUGAGAGGUCACGAGUUCAAUCCCUCAUUUCUCCAAAUAAUUAUUUUUUUAAUUCGAACCUGACUCGCGGGCUCGAGCCCGAGCUUGACAAUUCUUACAAUGAGCCGAGCCCGAGCUCGACCAAACCAAGCUCGGCAAGCUCGAGCCCAAGCCUGGAUAAUUCCUUAACGAGCCGAGCCUGCUCUAUAAGCAAAAACUCGGCUUGGCUCGUUUGACACCCUAAAGAGAUAGGAAACAACGGAAAAAAACAAGAUGAAAUAAACUUGAUUCCGGAAGAACCUCUAUAAAAAAAUGGGUACAUGUUAGUACGUGAGCUCGCCGGACCAAGCUCGUCGACCUAACCUAUUACAAGUGUUACUCUGAUUGUCAACCCCCUCCCCUAAUGGACCAAGAGAGGUAUUUAUAGUGUCCCGUGAUUCAUUCUGAGCCUUAUGGGCCACCCGGCCCUCCUGCGCCUUCGAGCCCAUUCGUGCGUCUGGACCUCGAAGGCCGCUCGUUCGGUCCAUGGACCACGGUCCGCAGUCCAUGGUACCAACAGUACAAAAAUCUGAAAAAUGAGGAAGAUGAGAUGAGAAGAAGAGAGGAAGAGAGAAGAAAGCAAAAGAAAAGAAAGUGUAUAAAAGUGUAAGAGAGGAAGAGAGAAAAACAAAAGAAAAGAGAGUGUAAAAGUGUAAGAGAGUGUAAGAGAGUGUAAGGAGAGAGAGUGUAGAUGGAGGAAUUUUUUUUAUAAUGAAGAUGAGAUAGACGGUUGAGAUUCAAUGAGCGUUUUUGGGCCUAUUUUAAUGAGACUUCUCUGAAAAUUGUUAUAUUUAUAUAAACUAUAAUUGUAUAAAGGUAUUUUUACAUAUUAUCUCCGAAUAUAAUAUUUUUUAUUUUUUUAUAUUCCUCUUAUCGAGCCCACCGAACAUAACGAACUUGAGCUUUAGACUUGAGCUCGGCUCAUUGGACUCGCGAGCCGAGUUUUACUUGACACCUUACACCUGGUGGUUAAUCAUAUUUAGAUAAAGUACGAUAAUUGAUAUUUUGGUGGUAUAAAUAUAUGAUGAGUUGACGUAUUGACACCCCCUAUUAGUUUAGGGAUGUCAUAUGACACCGACAACGAUUGUCAAGGUGAACGAUAGCCGAAACUAAAUCUAAGAAGAUAGACAUGAAAUUUUAUGAAAACAUAAAGAUAGAACCAUACCUUUGUGAAAGAUGAAACUUUUCUUUAGAUGAGGAACCUUAGAAAUGAAAAAUAUAGAAGGAAAAAUUGUUUGAAGUGAGAUGAUAAUGAUGGUAAUGUGUGAAGUCUGUUGUAGCCAUCAACAACAGUAGACGUAUGUCAAUCAAGACGUCAAAUAUUUAAUGAGAGGUUGUACGGAUUUUUCUUCUUCUAAAGUAUACCAUAUUGGUGUUUAUAAUUAAAGUGAAACACAAGUAAUGAUGUGGAGGGUACUGUAGCUAAUGUUAGAACUAGUAUUAUACUUUAGGUAGAGAGAUGUACUACAGGUGAUGUCAGUAGUUUUCUAGAUCCACAGCCAAUGUCGUACGUAAGUUAGUUUUAUGUGCAUAACAUAAUUGAAAUCGAUGGAUGACAAGCCUGUGUUGAGGAUUUUUUUUGGCACAUGACGAAGCACAGAUAGAUGACGCAGCUGAAUAAUUUUGUUUGAUAAUGAAAAUUAGGAGAAUUCUUAAAGAGGUUUUUGAAAGGAAAAUUUUUAAGAUCGAUCAUAAAUCAUAAAACAUAAUCAAGUUAUUAAGAUUAUUCAUCUAAACAAUUUAAAUGUUUUUUUCUAUUGAUUUUUUUAUAUUAAAUUUUUUACAAGUUUUUUUGUGUAAAAUUUUAAUUUUAAGAAUAUAUGUUAUAAUUUUUUUUAAUCUCGUUUGUUCUUGAGGAAGAGUAAAAAUUGCACUAAUACCAUAAAAAUUCCAUUAAAUCCUCCUUGAUUAAUCAAAUUCACUCAACGUAAUUUGUCAUAAUUAGAUCUAUGUAUCGACCGAGCCGAAUCCGGAUAAUUAAAGUGAAACACAAGGUUUAUGGAAUAAUAUCUGGAUAAGAAAAUUCGAAUCCGGAAUUAUCAAACGAAUUUGAAUCUGCGAUAUCCGUAUUCGAAAUUAUCAAUUGAAUUCUGAUUUUAACGACGGAUAUUGCAGAUAUCUGAAUCCGUACGGAUAAUUUUCGAAUAUCAUUUUGGGUAUACGAAUCCGUAUCCGAAAUUCGAAAAUCUAAAUUCGAAUAGACAUAGUCAAAUUCGUAAUCGGAUAUAAAUACGGAUUUCGAUAUACCAGGUUUAGUCUUAAUCAUCUCAAACAUGAUUUUGAAUGAUAAGAUAGUUGAAAAAAGAUAUUUGGUGACAACAAUCUUCAUCGUUCAUUUCAAAUCAAAGGUGAGAUGAAAUUUCUUGAGAUCGAAUCGAUGUUCCAGAUUGCAUCAGAAUGGGACGGUACCGAGGCGACCCGCCCCAUUUUCACUCCUACUGCUAACAUAACUUUUGGAUAUAACCAAGACAAUUUCAAUGCUUCGAAAAAAGACAAUUUCACUACGUAAGAGCGAUGAGGCAUAGAUCGUUUUAGGAAACAUCGAGUCAGUUCCCCAAAGGUUGUGAAGACCCAAACGAUCGUAAGAUCCGGGGUUGGAACAAUGCGGAGGGUGUGGGGUGGAUCGCAUGUGAUCACACCCUUUUUUUGUUUCGAAAUCUAUAUUAUCAGUUGGUUUUGUUUCAAAAAAAAAAAGGUUGGAUACUUGGAUGGUAUACAUAUGUAAGGUGACAAUAGCGAUUCCAACCAUCCAAAUUCAGUUAACAAUAGAUACAAGAGCCAUGGCAACAGAGACGAAAAUCGAUGUUCCGGGUAUGACCAAUUGGAUCAGCCUACUACGGCCAAACCCAGAUGUAAACAUGUGUAGAAUUCCUGCCGAGCAGGUUAAAGCAAAUGACAACAUUGAUCAAGAUUACGUGCCCAAAUACAUUUCCAUCGGACCAUACCACUACGGGAAAGAAGAGCUCCGUUCGAUGCAAAAGGUCAAGUACAUAUACCUCGAAGAUCUGCUUGCUUGGAACCAGAACAACACCAAAGAAAGGUACACGGAGGUAGUCAAAGAAGUGUAUUUAUCUUCUGAAAAAAUAAGUAUUGUGAUUUCGGUGCUUGUGGAAUCUCUGAUGAACGCUUUCUGGAUAUAUUGGUGGACGACGGUUGUUUUCUUGUGGAGUUAUUGUUGAAAUAUAAUGAUGCUGACUUUUCCGGGAAUUGAUAUCCAUAAGCUCAAUCAUGAUUUGAUGCUUAUCGAAAAUCAGGUACCUUUUUCUGUUCUCAAACUCAUAUAUCAAAAUACAGAUUUGGAGGAACAAGAUAGGCCCACUUUCUUCGAUAUGGCAAUCAAUUACUUGCACAAUGGAGAGAAGAGUAUCGACAAUAUUGUAUAUGAAGAAAUCGAAAAUGUGGACCAUCUUCUCCAUUUGCUCUACUUGUGUCGGUUGAAUCGGAUUCAAUUAGAAAAUGUUCCUUCAAAGUCAGUCCUAUCUUUUGCAUUACUUCUCAUGGAUAUACAAGGUUGCAGAUAUAUUUUUUCUAGUUUUGAUUUUCUUUGUUCUACUUAUGGUUAUCUAUAUAAAAUAUGCCUGUAAAGAUACAUGGUGUCUGGUUAUAGGAAUAACAUCGGUACUUGGAGCGAUAUUACUGAUAUCGCAAAGUGGUAUAUUGUUCUGUCUAAAGGAACUGAUUUCUAUUUUGUUUGUCGGAAUUAUCUAUUAUUUUAUCAUUUGGGUGGAAGCAGGAACUAAGUACACAACAAAAUCUGUAAAAACGAAUUGUCCUCUGAUACAUGGCCUCACACAAACCUUGACAGUAACAUAAAUCACUUCUUCUGGGAUAAAUUGGUCAGAUAUCGGCCCUACAGUCAUAUACAAGAUGUUUUUUAAGCACGAUAAGAUGCAUGCCGGAUUGAUGGAGAUAAAUGACAAUAGCUUCUCGGAAUUUGAGAAUUUAUUAUUUUACGAACAGAUAUAUAUUUUACCUAGAUUGUCAGAAAAUGAAGAGAAUGAUGCACUACUGUAUAUAACCACCUACGCAGUGUACAUGAGAAACAUGGUGAAGACGGAGUCGG
Molecule: long non-coding RNA, 7499 nt
Filed under: Zostera marina
Lineage: Eukaryota; Viridiplantae; Streptophyta; Magnoliopsida; Alismatales; Zosteraceae
Description: long non-coding RNA (ZMAR_LNC004773)
Source: RNAcentral